Molecule: ribosomal RNA, 1308 nt
Filed under: Dorea longicatena
Lineage: Bacteria; Bacillati; Bacillota; Clostridia; Lachnospirales; Lachnospiraceae
Description: bacterial LSU rRNA
Rfam family: Bacterial large subunit ribosomal RNA
Source: RNAcentral
CAAUCCGAAGACGUGAUGCGGACCGAAUUAAGAGUAGGGAAGUGUGUGAGCCAUGCGUCAAGAAAAGCCGCUAUUGUUUUACUUAAGCCCGUACCGUAAACCGACACAGGUGGAUGAGGAGAGAAUCCUAAGGCCGACGGGAGAAGCAUUGUUAAGGAACUCGGCAAAAUGACUCCGUAACUUCGGGAGAAGGAGUGCCAGCGAGAGCUGGCCGCAGAGAAUUGGCCCAAGCAACUGUUUAGCAAAAACACAGGUCUAUGCAAAACCGUAAGGUGAAGUAUAUGGGCUGACGCCUGCCCGGUGCUGGAAGGUUAAGAGGAGAGGUUAGCGGUAACGCGAAGCUUUGAAUUUAAGCCCCAGUAAACGGCGGCCGUAACUAUAACGGUCCUAAGGUAGCGAAAUUCCUUGUCGGGUAAGUUCCGACCCGCACGAAAGGCGUAAUGAUUUGGGCACUGUCUCAACAAUGCACCCGGUGAAAUUGAAAUACCAGUGAAGAUGCUGGUUACCUGCGCCAGGACGGAAAGACCCCAUGGAGCUUUACUCCAGCUUGAUACUGGGAUUCGGUAUUGCAUGUACAGGAUAGGUGGGAGGCUAGGAAGUGAUAACGCCAGUUGUCACGGAGCCGCUGUUGGGAUACCACCCUUGCAGUAUUGGAUUUCUAACCAGCGACCAUGAACUGGUCGGGGGACAAUGUCAGGUGGGGAGUUUGACUGGGGCGGUCGCCUCCGAAAGGGUAUCGGAGGCGCUCAAAGGUUCCCUCAGAAUGGACGGAAACCAUUCGAAGAGUGCAAAGGCAGAAGGGAGCUUGACUGCGACACCGACGGGUGGAGCAGGUACGAAAGUAGGACUUAGUGAUCCGGUGGUAUAAAGUGGGAUUGCCAUCGCUCAACGGAUAAAAGCUACCCUGGGGAUAACAGGCUUAUCACUCCCAAGAGUUCACAUCGACGGAGUGGUUUGGCACCUCGAUGUCGGCUCAUCGCAUCCUGGGGCUGAAGUAGGUCCCAAGGGUUGGGCUGUUCGCCCAUUAAAGCGGUACGCGAGCUGGGUUCAGAACGUCGUGAGACAGUUCGGUCCCUAUCCGGCGUGGGCGUAGGAUAUUUGAGAGGAGCUGUCCUUAGUACGAGAGGACCGGGAUGGACUGGCCGCUGGUGUAUCUGUUGCAUACCAAAUGCAUGGCAGAGUAGCCAAGCCGGGACGGGAUAAACGCUGAAGGCAUCUAAGCGUGAAGCCCCCCUCAAGAUGAGAUAUCCCUACGUAAGUAGUAAGACCCCUUGAAGACGACGAGGUAGAUAGGUCAGAGGUGGAAGU